UCAGUAACACGUAGUCAACAUGCCCAGGGGACGUGGAUAACCUCGGGAAACUGAGGAUAAACCGCGAUAGGUCACUACUUCUGGAAUGGGUAAUGACCCAAACCUACAUGGCCCCUGGAUUGGACUGCGGCCGAUCAGGCUGUUGGUGAGGUAAUGGCCCACCAAACCUGUAACCGGUACGGGCUCUGAGAGGAGGAGCCCGGAGAUGGGCACUGAGACAAGGGCCCAGGCCCUAUGGGGCGCAGCAGGCGCGAAACCUCUGCAAUAGGCGAAAGCUUGACAGGGUUACUCUGAGUGAUUUCCGUUAAGGAGAUCUUUUGGCACCUCUAAAAAUGGUGCAGAAUAAGGGGUGGGCAAGUCUGGUGUCAGCCGCCGCGGUAAUACCAGCACCCCGAGUGGUCGGGACGUUUAUUGGGCCUAAAGCAUCCGUAGCCGGUUCUACAAGUCUUCCGUUAAAUCCACCUGCUUAACAGAUGGGCUGCGGAAGAUACUAUGGAGCUAGGAGGCGGGAGAGGCAAGCGGUACUCGAUGGGUAGGGGUAAAAUCCGUUGAUCCAUUGAAGACCACCAGUGGCGAAGGCGGCUUGCCAGAACGCGCUCGACGGUGAGGGAUGAAAGCUGGGGGGAGCAAACCGGAUUA
Molecule: ribosomal RNA, 639 nt
Filed under: uncultured archaeon
Lineage: Archaea
Description: bacterial SSU rRNA
Rfam family: Archaeal small subunit ribosomal RNA
Source: RNAcentral